This 351-nucleotide RNase P RNA is filed under the name Seonamhaeicola algicola. Its description in RNAcentral is "Bacterial RNase P class A". It matches the Rfam family "Bacterial RNase P class A". Rfam says of the family: Ribonuclease P (RNase P) is a ubiquitous endoribonuclease, found in archaea, bacteria and eukarya as well as chloroplasts and mitochondria. Its best characterised activity is the generation of mature 5'-ends of tRNAs by cleaving the 5'-leader elements of precursor-tRNAs. The record is from Rfam by way of RNAcentral. Lineage: Bacteria; Pseudomonadati; Bacteroidota; Flavobacteriia; Flavobacteriales; Flavobacteriaceae.
AAAGUAGGCCGCCUUAUCGCUUUUUAAUAAUGAACGUGUUUUGAUAUUGAAGAGAGGAAAGUCCGAACACCGUAGUGCAAUAUAGUGGUUAAUGGCCACCAGUUGUAAAACUAGGAAAAGUGCAACAGAAAGUAUGUACAGGUAAUGCUGUAGUGAAAUCAGGUAAACUCUAUAUGGUGCAAUGCCAUGUAUACCAACGUUUAAGGGUUGCACGCCCAAUGUUGGAGGGUAGGCAGCUAAAGUACACUGGUAACAGUGUAUUAAGAUAAAUGAUAAGGGUGUUUUUUGUUGUGAAUGGUUUCAUUCUCAACUUUAAGCAUACAGAAUUCGGCUUAUAGGCUUACUUUAAAA